Molecule: transfer RNA, 74 nt
Filed under: Microscilla marina ATCC 23134
Lineage: Bacteria; Pseudomonadati; Bacteroidota; Cytophagia; Cytophagales; Microscillaceae
Rfam family: tRNA
About the family: Transfer RNA (tRNA) molecules are approximately 80 nucleotides in length. Their secondary structure includes four short double-helical elements and three loops (D, anti-codon, and T loops).
Source: Rfam by way of RNAcentral
GGCAUUGAAGGUGAACAGGUUGCACUGCCACACUUCCAAUGUGGAGAUAGCGGGUUCGAGUCCCGCCAAUGCCU